Molecule: long non-coding RNA, 1485 nt
Organism: Cryptomeria japonica (Japanese cedar)
Lineage: Eukaryota; Viridiplantae; Streptophyta; Pinopsida; Cupressales; Cupressaceae
Exons: 3
Source: RefSeq, a predicted model, not a curated record
CCGUACAAUCAAAGUAAAUCAGCGUGCAACACAUGGACAGUUCAUUUAUGGCGAUAGUAAUAUUACUAUAUAUAAUACCUUCUACUUUCAGUUUUUGAACCCUCUGCAAUAAUGGCGAUGCUUCUACGAUUUCUUAAUGCAACGGGGCAACCCUUCAAAUCAAUCAGGUCCAACAUAUCAAGUAAAAUGAUUUCUUGGGGGCAUUUAUAGUUACUUGGUCAAAUUCGACAAAUUCAUAGUCCGGAGGCAAUGCUUAAUGUGGUUGAAUUUUGAACAUCUCCAGGCUUUUUAGUGGAUCAGAGAGGAUGGUCAUUUCAAUUUUUUCUUAAAAGAAUACAUAAAAUUGAAAAUGGUGGCUCAAGAUUAUUACUAGCCAAUAGGGGGUAAAGAUGUGGCUAUUUAUAGUGAACUGGUCUGAUCUUGCAAUUUUUAUUGCAAAGAACUUUAGUCGUGUUUCAUGACUGCCACAAUUUGCCCAGCAGAUUUUUUUUUGGUUAUUUAAAUGGGUAUACUUUCAGCUGUUUGUCAGUGCUUUCUUGUGACUAUCAGAAGUUUUUGGUCUCUGCAAGAGCAGCGGUUUGCUUCGGUCUACAAUUCUGUCAGCUCAGUUGUUGCAUUAUUGUUGCAGUAUGUUUUACCACACAGGAUGUCCCGAAGGAGUCGUGCCUAAUUACUAUCAAAGUCAUUAUGUUCCACAUCUAGUUAAAAUUACGACAGUAACCAGUCAACUCUGUGUGGCUGACCAGUUUGUUUGUUUGGAGGCCAAAGCAUGUCAAUAUUCAAAGGUGGUAACAUGGUUCAUCAGGGCUGAACUCCUCAGAAAGCUAUUCAGUCUUGCUCUCGAGGUUAUAUUUUUCCAGUGUGCAGUCAGGACAUCAGAACUCCAUGAGACAGGUCUGGACAGACAGAAGACUGGAGAAACUGGUAGAAUGCUGAGUUUGUGCUUUGGUUUACUCACAAAUCUAACAAGAUUCGGUAUAUUUUUGUUUUAUAAUCCUGGGGAAUAUUGUUGUUGCAUAUAUAAAUUCUUUGGUAACCCAAGAUGAUGAUCCCUGAUAUAGAUCUUAUGCAAAGACAACUGAAGGAAGCAGGAAAAUGUUAUUGAGAUUACAAAUUUCUCUACUAAGAUUAAGAUACAGACAUUUGGGAUGCAGUUCAGUCGCAAUGGCCUUUCCUUAGUGAACAGAAAUGGUUCUCUUGCACAAAGUUCCACUUCAAUGGAAACUGAAGGAUAUAUGCAUUAUGAACAAGAUGGACAUUUAUUUAGCUGACGUAUUUAGGAGGGAAGUUUACAUUUUUUAAAAAUGUAUGACAAUCAAUAUUUUGGGUCUGGUUUUUUACAGUGAAAACUAUUUCCCACCAUUUCAUGUCAAUAAAACCAACUUGAAGUAGUUGAUGAGCCUAUUAAAUUGAUCAUAUGGACACAUCUUUCCUCUAUAAUAUAGCAGUGAAGGAUUUAAAUAAAGGUUGUGCAUUUUAAUUUUU